This 1860-nucleotide long non-coding RNA is filed under the name Chinchilla lanigera (long-tailed chinchilla). Its description in RNAcentral is "lncRNA (ENSCLAG00000028254.1)". Lineage: Eukaryota; Metazoa; Chordata; Mammalia; Rodentia; Chinchillidae. The record is from RNAcentral.
CCAGAAGAGGAUGGCUAAAGCACCUAUGUAUGCCACUCCAGAACCGAGAGAGGAGUGGCCCCUGCUUUGCACCUUCCUGUGCAUCGUUAGUGACAGACUGCACCUCACACAGGCCCCAGGAUAUGGUGGCUGAGACAGUGAACUCAAAUCUGAGGCUGGCAUUGGUGCCUGUGUUAACCUCCUUGGUAGCAGCGUUACCUCACCUCCCGGCUUUGUGGAUUCGCUACUCUAACUCCAAGCCAAUCAUCAUUACAAAUGUCUGCCAGAUCUUUCACUCUUCCUUCUGGGAGGAGAUGCUAGAGAGGAGCAGAAUCCCUUGGGAAACAGAGAUAAAGUCUGCAGCUUCCUGCCCCUCAGGAGAUCAUACGAAGACGAGUGCAAAGCCUUGCUCUGCGUGCUGUAGCUGGAUGAAGACAUCCGUGUGCCUGACAGCCCGAGGACACAGGUCCUGCUAUCAAGGCUGUGUUGUUCAUAGAAAAGACUCAGAGAGGUUAAGUAACUCGCCAGAGGUCAACGCGUCUGGAGAAUGGACCUAGCCCCUGCGAGGUCCGUGAGCAUUGUUCCCCGCGCAUGCUGCAGUUGGGGAGGCAUCAAGAGCAUGAGAUAUACAAGGCCAGUUCAGCUCUGCACUUGAGCUAGUGGACAAAGAUGUCGUUCUUGAGGUGGCAGCGGAGUGGGGCAGCCUCGGGAGGCUUCACAGUGGGGCUCGGGGAGGAACUGGGAGGACACCACAUGCCCAGGCUGCUGGGUAUGGAGAUGGGAAUUUACGCAGGGAGGGGCCAGAGAAGCUGGGCCCAGGGUGAGAGUGUGGCAGUGGUGGGCGGGGAAGGAUGCGGAGAUGGAGUGUUUCUGGUGACAGAGGCCAGAACCUUGCUCCAGACUGUGAGCCAUACUGAAACGCUGUGGGGAGCCAUUAAAAUUUUUUUUGGUUUUUUAUUUUUACUUUUAUUUAUUUAUUUUUGUCUUUUUGAGACAGGGUCUUGCUAUACAGUUCAGCCUGGCUUUGAGCUUACUUUGUAGCGCAGGCCUUGAACUUGCAACGAUCCUCCUGCCUCAGGCUCCCCAGUGCUGGGAUUACAGGCACGCACCAUCAUGCCCAACUUUUGUUCUUUCUUUAGUGUGGAAGCUAGUAGUAUAGGGAUGCCUGGCCAUAAUCCUAGCAUUCUGGAAGGCUGAGGCAGGAGGAUAAGGGAGCUCAAGCCUAGUUUGGGUAACUUUGCAAGUUAGUAAGUCCCUAUCUCAAAAAGAAAAAUACAAGGGAAAAAAACUGCAGUGUAACACACAAUGAAGACACUGGGUUUAAUCCCCAGUACAAAAAAGAAAAAGGAAAGAAAAAGAGAAAGAGAGAGAGACACCCACAGACAGAGACAAAGAGAGGGACAGACACAGAGACAGAGACACAGAGAGAGAGAUAUUAGCUUGGAAGAGAUAGAACAUGAGGCAGCACAAAGUUAGGAACAGGUCAUCAGUGUCUCCACUUGGGUGAGAGGUGGUGUCUGCAGACAGACAGACAGACAGAUGGACGGGAUCUCACAACUCGGCAGGGUGCAGUGGAGAGGUCAUGAGCAGCUCCCCGCACCUGGGGAAGCUGAUGAGAGAGGUGGAUGGCAGUGUCCUGGAGCCUGGGGUGGGGGCUCCUAACUGUGUACAUCAGGGGUGACACAGUUAGCUUAGCUGUCAUCCCCAGGAAGCCUUUUCAGACUCUCCUUGUCCCCCAAAGCACUGGUUCCCUAGUUACAGUUUCCCACUCUGCUUGCAUCUCCACCCUGGCCACCACUGCACUAUGCAGUGACUUGCUAGUGUCCUUUCCCGACACUGUGCCUACGUGCUGCCCAAGUCCCCAGCGCUGCUCACAGUGCC